This 741-nucleotide ribosomal RNA is filed under the name Salmonella enterica subsp. enterica serovar Infantis. Its description in RNAcentral is "partial 23S ribosomal RNA". It matches the Rfam family "Bacterial large subunit ribosomal RNA", at positions 550 to 1190 of the family's 2925-position model. Lineage: Bacteria; Pseudomonadati; Pseudomonadota; Gammaproteobacteria; Enterobacterales; Enterobacteriaceae. The record is from RNAcentral. RNAcentral also lists the same sequence under 1 other name.
CUGAAACCGUGUACGUACAAGCAGUGGGAGCCCCACCACCAAAGCAUUCUCUGGUGUUGAAGGCCCUGCAAAGCAGCAUCGCGGUGGCGGAGCGUCGUUUGCGACGCCCAACACACAAAACAAGCGGUGAGUGCUUUGGGGUGGGGUGACUGCGUACCUUUUGUAUAAUGGGUCAGCGACUUAUAUUCUGUAGCAAGGUUAACCGAAUAGGGGAGCCGGAGGGAAACCGAGUCUUAAUUGGGCGUUAAGUUGCAGGGUAUAGACCCGAAACCCGGUGAUCUAGCCAUGGGCAGGUUGAAGGUUGGGUAACACUAACUGGAGGACCGAACCGACUAAUGUUGAAAAAUUAGCGGAUGACCUGUGGCUGGGGGUGAAAGGCCAAUCAAACCGGGAGAUAGCUGGUUCUCCCCGAAAGCUAUUUAGGUAGCGCCUCGUGAAUUCAUCUCCGGGGGUAGAGCACUGUUUCGGCUAGGGGGCCAUCCCGGCUUACCAACCCGAUGCAAACUGCGAAUACCGGAGAAUGUUAUCACGGGAGACACACGGCGGGUGCUAACGUCCGUCGUGAAGAGGGAAACAACCCAGACCGCCAGCUAAGGUCCCAAAGUCAUGGUUAAGUGGGAAACGAUGUGGGAAGGCCCAGACAGCCAGGAUGUUGGCUUAGAAGCAGCCAUCAUUUAAAGAAAGCGUAAUAGCUCACUGGUCGAGUCGGCCUGCGCGGAAGAUGUAACGGGGCUAAACCAU